AGGACGAACGCUGGCGGCGUGCUUAACACAUGCAAGUCGAGCGGAAAGGCCCUUCGGGGUACUCGAGCGGCGAACGGGUGAGUAACACGUGAGCAACCUGCCCUGGACUUUGGGAUAACCCUCGGAAACGGGGGCUAAUACCGGAUAUUACUUCUGCCCGCAUGGGUGGUGGUGGAAAGUUUUUCGGUCUGGGAUGGGCUCGCGGACUAUCAGCUUGUUGGUGGGGUGAUGGCCUACCAAGGCGACGACGGUUAGCCGGCCUGAGAGGGCGACCGGCCACACUGGGACUGAGACACGGCCCAGACUCCUACGGGAGGCAGCAGUGGGGAAUAUUGCACAAUGGGCGGAAGCCUGAUGCAGCGACGCCGCGUGAGGGAUGACGGCCUUCGGGUUGUAAACCUCUUUCAGCAGGGACGAAGCGAGAGUGACGGUACCUGCAGAAGAAGCGCGGCCAACUACGUGCCAGCAGCCGC
RNAcentral lists this ribosomal RNA (473 nucleotides) under uncultured bacterium. RNAcentral describes it as "SSU rRNA". It matches the Rfam family "Bacterial small subunit ribosomal RNA", at positions 26 to 518 of the family's 1533-position model. The record is from RNAcentral.